GAGUAUGCUGUGACACAACUGAAGGAAUAUGAUGGGAAGAAACUAGUGUCUGCAACCAAAGAAGGCCUGCAGCUUGAAGAAUCAGAGGAGGAGAAGCAGAAGAAGGAAGAGAAGAAAAAGUCUUUUGAGAACUUGUGCAAGACGAUUAAGGAAAUCCUAGGAGACAAGGUGGAGACAGUGGUGGUGUCGGAUAGAAUUGUGGACUCUCCUUGCUGCUUGGUUACCGGUGAAUAUGGAUGGACUGCUAAUAUGGAAAGGAUCAUGAAAGCUCAGGCUUUAAGAGAUAACAGUAUGAGCGCUUACAUGUCUGGCAAGAAAAUCAUGGAAAUCAACCCAGACAAUCCCAUAAUGGAGGAGCUUAGGAAGAGAGCUGAGGCUGAUAAGAACGACAAAUCAGUGAAGGACCUGGUGCUGUUGCUUUUUGAGACUGCCCUUCUAACUUCAGGUUUCAGUCUUGAUGAUCCCAACACAUUUGCAGCAAGGAUUCACAGGAUGCUGAAGUUGGGUCUGGGAAUUGAUGAGGAUGAGGCUGGCGUAGAAGACGUAGAUAUGCCAGCGCUGGAGGAAGAAACAAAUGAGGAGAGCAAGAUGAAGUAGACUAAAAGAGGUACCCAAGUGUAUAACAGGCAUGCACUAGAUCAGUAUCAGUGAGAGAAAUAACGCCCCUAGCGUGGAAGUGGCCAAGUCCUUCAUGAAUCUAUGGUCUAAAAUCUCACUUCGUUUCCCAUGUAUCAUCCUUCUUUGUUGUUGAGGCUUGCGAGUGGCUUUAUUCCACCUCCUUUGUACAGUGCUUGCAUAAAUAUAAUAAAGUUGCGUAUCCUUCCAAGUAAAUCUACCGUUGUCAAUGUUUUUUAAUU
This 857-nucleotide unclassified non-coding RNA is filed under the name Hevea brasiliensis (rubber tree). Lineage: Eukaryota; Viridiplantae; Streptophyta; Magnoliopsida; Malpighiales; Euphorbiaceae. The record is from RNAcentral.